GAAUACUGGUGAACAACUCUUCCACGCUUGCCAAGUUUACUUCUUGUGAUGAAUAAACCAUCCUGGUAUCAUGAGUUCAUGAUAUACUCAGAAUGUUUUUGUUUAUCAGUCCGUAUUUCUCUCUGUUCAGCUGACUUGUGCCCAGAACUGCACAGUUAUUUACUGUGCUCUCUUUAUAAAUAUUUUACCAUUAGUUUUUUGUUUGUUUGUUUUUGCUACCUAUGUAUACACCUCUUUCUCAUCUUGCCAAGGAAACUAUCAUUAUUUGCAUCUUCCAAGACUUUCUAACUCAUGAAGAAAACUGCACUGGGACUGAGUAGUAUGAGUUGGUUGACAGUGUGCCCUCAUUUUAGUCUUCAUCUUAUUUGGCAGAUAUGUUUACUUUUUGGAGAAAAUACAUUUUUCUUCUUUUUUUGUUUUUCGUGGAGUAAGUUUCAGGAAAUGGUGUGGAAUACACAUUUUGCUCCAUUGUCAUUUACCACCAGUCUUAAAAAUAGGACAUUUUCCUUUGCAGGGGACAUGGAUGAAGCUGGAAAGCAUCACCCUCAGCAAACUAACUCAGGGACAGAAAACCAAACACCGCAUGCUCUCACUCAGAAGCUGUUGGUCCAUGUAGUUCUUCAUAUCCAGCUCGGGGGCUGGUGGUCCAGAAUGAAGUCAGUCAUUUUCAGGACCAAUUACAUUCUUCAAGCUGAAUACUGGUGUGGUCAUUAUCACCUACUCCACAGAUAUUUUCUGUGACUUGAACUCCUGUGUGGAAUUUACUGACAUUCGCGGACAUCCUUUUAUCUUUUAGUUGUCGCAAUGGUGGCUGUUGUUAUGCUGUUGGUCUUUGUACACAGUGAUGGGGGAAAAUGACAUGUCAAUUUAUUCUUCUUGCUCCCGCCCAACAUCUAUGGCCUGAUUUUACCUGAUUUCAAUUUUUUCAAAUGUGUUAGGACUUGUUUUAAUGCCCUAGGAUACAGUAAAUUUCAGUAAAUGUUUCAGAGCGUAGUUGUAGAUACAGCAAAUUUUGAAGUCGUUUGGGUUUUUGCACAUUCUCCAGCAUUUUGAAGAUUUUAAAAGUUGAAGUAACUUAGGCCAUGGAAGUUAAGCAAAUCAUCCAAGCUCAGAUCAUUUGUUACUUAAAUCCAAGGCUCCAGCCUCUUGUUUCGUUGUGUCAUUUCUUUAGAAAACCAAUAGUUUAUAAUCUGAACAUAGUAAAAAUACAUAAUUGUAAUCUUAGCCCUUUAGAUAUAAAGCUAGGUUACAUUUAAUGCAAAGUUCAUUGGAAGUAAAAACAGACUUCAAAAGUCAGAUGCUAAAGCAUUCAUGGUAGAUUGUUGCUUUUCUAAAUUCUAGUUUUCUAUUUUAUAAAACUAGAGUCCUAG
RNAcentral lists this long non-coding RNA (1370 nucleotides) under Callithrix jacchus (white-tufted-ear marmoset). Its description in RNAcentral is "lncRNA (ENSCJAG00000078040.1)". Lineage: Eukaryota; Metazoa; Chordata; Mammalia; Primates; Cebidae. The record is from RNAcentral.